GCCAGACUCCUACGGGAGGCAGCAGUGAGGAAUAUUGGUCAAUGGGCUUACGCCUGAACCAGCCAAGUCGCGUGAGGGAAGACUGCCCUAUGGGUUGUAAACCUCUUUUGUCAGGGAGCAAUUGGCGCUACGUGUAGCGUUAUCGAGAGUACCUGAAGAAAAAGCAUCGGCUAACUCCGUGCCAGCAGCCGCGGUAAUACGGAGGAUGCGAGCGUUAUCCGGAUUUAUUGGGUUUAAAGGGUGCGCAGGCGGUCUGUUAAGUCAGCGGUCAAAUCGCGGGGCUCAACCCCGCCCAGCCGUCGGAACUGCCGGGCUAGAGUGGGCGAGAAGUGCGCGGAAUGCGUGGUGUAGCGGUGAAAUGCAUAGAUAUCACGCAGAACUCCGAUUGCGAAGGCAGCGCACCGGCGCCCUACUGACGCUCAGGCACGAAAGCGUGGGGAUCGAACAGGAUUAGAUACCCCAGUACCG
Molecule: ribosomal RNA, 468 nt
Filed under: uncultured bacterium
Lineage: Bacteria
Description: bacterial SSU rRNA
Rfam family: Bacterial small subunit ribosomal RNA
Source: RNAcentral